This is a non-coding RNA of Rattus norvegicus (Norway rat), 69 nucleotides long. NCBI's taxonomy places the organism in Eukaryota, Metazoa, Chordata, Mammalia, Rodentia, Muridae. The record is from Rfam.
GGGGAUUUAGCUCAGUGGUAGAGCGCUUGCCUAGCAAACUCGAGGCCCUGGGUUCAGUCCCCAGCUCCG